CCUACGGGAGGCAGCAGUGGGGAAUUUUGGACAAUGGGCGCAAGCCUGAUCCAGCCAUGCCGCGUGAGUGAGGAAGGCCUUCGGGUUGUAAAGCUCUUUCGGACGGAAAGAAAUCGCGCAGGCUAAUACCCUGCGCGGAUGACGGUACCGUCAUAAGAAGCACCGGCUAACUACGUGCCAGCAGCCGCGGUAA
RNAcentral lists this ribosomal RNA (193 nucleotides) under uncultured bacterium. RNAcentral describes it as "partial 16S ribosomal RNA". It matches the Rfam family "Bacterial small subunit ribosomal RNA", at positions 338 to 523 of the family's 1533-position model. The record is from RNAcentral.